AUACGGAGGGUGCAAGCGUUACUCGGAAUCACUGGGCGUAAAGCGCGCGCAGGCGGUCUUUUAAGUUGGAUGUGAAAGCCUACGGCUCAACCAUAGAACUGCAUCCAAAACUGUCAAACUAGAGUCUGGGAGAGGAAGAUGGAAUUAGUUGUGUAGGGGUAAAAUCCGUAGAGAUAACUAGGAAUACCAAAAGCGAAGGCGAUCUUCUGGAACAGUACUGACGCUGAGGCGCGAAAGCGUGGGGAGCAAACAGGAUUAGAAACCCCGGUAGUCC
Molecule: ribosomal RNA, 274 nt
Filed under: uncultured bacterium
Lineage: Bacteria
Description: partial 16S ribosomal RNA
Rfam family: Bacterial small subunit ribosomal RNA
Source: RNAcentral